RNAcentral lists this ribosomal RNA (253 nucleotides) under uncultured bacterium. Its description in RNAcentral is "partial 16S ribosomal RNA". It matches the Rfam family "Bacterial small subunit ribosomal RNA", at positions 524 to 776 of the family's 1533-position model. The record is from RNAcentral.
UACAGAGGUCUCAAGCGUUGUUCGGAUUCAUUGGGCGUAAAGGGUGCGUAGGUGGUUAUGCAAGUCUGGUGUGAAAUCUCGGAGCUCAACUCCGAAAUUGCACCGGAUACUGCGUGACUCGAGGACUGUAGAGGAGAUCGGAAUUCACGGUGUAGCAGUGAAAUGCGUAGAUAUCGUGAGGAAGACCAGUUGCGAAGGCGGAUCUCUGGGCAGUUCCUGACACUGAGGCACGAAGGCCAGGGGAGCAAACGGG